RNAcentral lists this ribosomal RNA (253 nucleotides) under uncultured bacterium. RNAcentral describes it as "partial 16S ribosomal RNA". It matches the Rfam family "Bacterial small subunit ribosomal RNA", at positions 524 to 776 of the family's 1533-position model. The record is from RNAcentral.
UACGUAGGGUGCAAGCGUUAAUCGGAAUUACUGGGCGUAAAGCGCACGUAGGCGGAUAUUUAAGUCAGGGGUGAAAUCCUGGAGCUCAACUCCAGAACUGCCUUUGAUACUGGGUAUCUAGAGUCCGGAAGAGGUGAGUGGAACUCCUAGUGUAGAGGUGGAAUUCGUAGAUAUUAGGAAGAACACCAGUGGCGAAGGCGGCUCACUGGUCCGGUACUGACGCUGAGGUGCGAAAGCGUGGGGAGCAAACAGG